UUUAAGUGCAACUAUAAGUUUCUGUUCCCAACUUUGAUUGACUGUCUUAUUUGAAAUUUUUUUAUAAUUAGUAUUUUUAUUGUUAUGAGAUGAUAAAACUUAAAUAAUACUUUAUAUGUGACUUAUAUUUUUAAAUUUUUUUAAAAAAAUUUAAAUAAAACGGAUGGUUAGAAUUGCGCACGAAAAAUUAUGGCUGCAGUUGGA
This is a non-coding RNA of Oryza meridionalis, 204 nucleotides long. Lineage: Eukaryota; Viridiplantae; Streptophyta; Magnoliopsida; Poales; Poaceae. The record is from Rfam.